RNAcentral lists this microRNA precursor (131 nucleotides) under Cricetulus griseus (Chinese hamster). RNAcentral describes it as "miRNA (ENSCGRG00000021546.1)". Lineage: Eukaryota; Metazoa; Chordata; Mammalia; Rodentia; Cricetidae. The record is from RNAcentral.
GGCUUCUCUGUGUAGCUUUUGAGCCUAUCCUGGCACUCACUCUGGAGACCAGGCUGGCCUAGAUCUCACAGACAUCCUCCUGCCUCUGCCUCCUGAGUGCUGGGAUUAAAGGCGUGUGACACCAAUGCCCG